This 252-nucleotide ribosomal RNA is filed under the name uncultured soil bacterium. RNAcentral's name for it is "partial 16S ribosomal RNA". It matches the Rfam family "Bacterial small subunit ribosomal RNA", at positions 26 to 287 of the family's 1533-position model. The record is from RNAcentral.
AGGACGAACGCUGGCGGCGUGCUUAACACAUGCAAGUCAAGGGGGCCCAGCAAUGGGCAACCGGCGAACGGGUGCGUAGCACGUGAGCAACCUACCGAAAUGUGGGGGAUAGCCGGCCUAACGGCCGAGUAAUACCGCAUACGCUCUCGAUGAGGCAUUUCAUUGAGAGGAAACCUACGGGACAUUUCGAGGGGCUCGCGGCCUAUCAGCUAGUUGGAGAGGUAACGGCUCACCAAGGCAACGACGGGUAGC